GCUGUUGGCGUGCUUAACACAUGCAAGUCGAACGGAAAGGCCCUGCUUUUGUGGGGUGCUCGAGUGGCGAACGGGUGAGUAACACGUGAGUAACCUGCCCUUGACUUUGGGAUAACUUCAGGAAACUGGGGCUAAUACCGGAUAGGAGCUCCUGCUGCAUGGUGGGGGUUGGAAAGUUUCGGCGGUUGGGGAUGGACUCGCGGCCUAUCAGCUUGUUGGCGGGGUAGUGGCUUACCAAGGCUUUGACGGGUAGCCGGCCUGAGAGGGUGACCGGCCACAUUGGGACUGAGAUACGGCCCAGACUCCUACGGGAGGCAGCAGUGGGGAAUAUUGCACAAUGGGCGGAAGCCUGAUGCAGCAACGCCGCGUGCGGGAUAACGGCCUUCGGGUUGUAAACCGCUUUUGCCUGUGACGAAGCGUGAGUGACGGUAAUGGGUAAAGAAGCACCGGCUAACUACGUGCCAGCAGCCGCGGUGAUACGUAGGGUGCGAGCGUUGUCCGGAUUUAUUGGGCGUAAAGGGCUCGUAGGUGGUUGAUCGCGUCGGAAGUGUAAUCUUGGGGCUUAACCCUGAGCGUGCUUUCGAUACGGGUUGACUUGAGGAAGGUAGGGGAGAAUGGAAUUCCUGGUGGAGCGGUGGAAUGCGCAGAUAUCAGGAGGAACACCAGUGGCGAAGGCGGUUCUCUGGGCCUUUCCUGACGCUGAGGAGCGAAAGCGUGGGGAGCGAACAGGCUUAGAUACCCUGGUAGUCCACGCUGUAAACGGUGGGUACUAGGUGUGGGGUCCAUUCCACGGGUUCCGUGCCGUAGCUAACGCUUUAAGUACCCCGCCUGGGGAGUACGGCCGCAAGGCUAAAACUCAAAGGAAUUGACGGGGCCCCGCACAAGCGGCGGAGCAUGCGGAUUAAUUCGAUGCAACGCGUAGAACCUUACCUGGGUUUGACAUGGAUCGGGAGUGCUCAGAGAUGGGUGUGCCUCUUUUGGGGUCGGUUCACAGGUGGUGCAUGGCUGUCGUCAGCUCGUGUCGUGAGAUGUUGGGUUAAGUCCCGCAACGAGCGCAACCCUUGUUCACUGUUGCCAGCACGUUAUGGUGGGGACUCAGUGGAGACCGCCGGGGUCAACUCGGAGGAAGGUGGGGAUGACGUCAAGUCAUCAUGCCCCUUAUGUCCAGGGCUUCACGCAUGCUACAAUGGCUGGUACAGAGAGUGGCGAGCCUGUGAGGGUGAGCGAAUCUCGGAAAGCCGGUCUCAGUUCGGAUUGGGGUCUGCAACUCGACCUCAUGAAGUCGGAGUCGCUAGUAAUCGCAGAUCAGCAACGCUGCGGUGAAUACGUUCCCGGGGCUUGUACACACCGCCCGUCAAGUCAUGAAAGUUGGUAACACCCGAAGCCGGUGGCCUAACCGUUGUGGGGGAGCCGUCGAAGGUGGGACUGGUGAUU
RNAcentral lists this ribosomal RNA (1434 nucleotides) under uncultured organism. RNAcentral describes it as "16S ribosomal RNA". It matches the Rfam family "Bacterial small subunit ribosomal RNA". The record is from RNAcentral.